This is a non-coding RNA of Kogia breviceps (pygmy sperm whale), 73 nucleotides long. The record is from the annotation of a RefSeq genome assembly. NCBI's taxonomy places the organism in Eukaryota, Metazoa, Chordata, Mammalia, Artiodactyla, Physeteridae.
UCCCUGGUGGUCCAGUGGUUAGGACUUGGUGCUUUCACUGCCAGGGGCCCAGGUUCAAUCCCUGGUCAGGGAA